CGGCAAAACUCCCGGAUGGUUCUUUCUCACCAUAGUUGGUGUGUUCCUGGUGGCCAGUCCCGCAGUGCUGCUGCCUGAAGUUUGGCAAUACAUGAAUGCUUACAUGGGUGAACAACUGCUCACUCACUCCGGUUAUCUUUUUGCCGGGCAACUUUACAAGAACAACAUGUCGAGCUCGCCGUUUUGGGGAACACCUUUCUAUUUUUACCUGCUCUUCCUUGCGAUCAAGGUGCCGUUACUGACGUUGAUCGCGUUUCUCAUCGGUCUCGCGAUCGCGGUAAAGGGCUGGCGUCACGUGGGGCAUGCUUUUCUGAUCUUCAUGUUUCUGUUCUGGAUCGUUCCUUACUCUUUAAUCGGAGGGAAGUGGCUCAGGUAUACCCUUUCGGUAAUGCCUUUUGUUUACAUGCUGGCGGCGGUGGGCAUCGUCGGUUUGGUACGUUGGACCACGUCGUGGUUCUCGGACGCAAAGCGAGCGGUAUUUAUCGUCUCCGCAAUAGCGGUCGCGCUAUUUGUGGUGGCUCCGGCGUGGACGACGUUUGCCGGCCGCCCACACUAUGCUCUUUACACAAAUGCGUUGGGCGCCGGAAAGGCUGGUUACUUCUUUCCGCAUGACGAGUUUUAUGACGAUGGACUGCGAGAGGCGAUCAAGUACGUUUGCGAACAAGCGCCAACUGGGGCAACAAUCGCGCAUGAGACACCGGCGGUGACGCGUUAUUACCUGCGAGUGUUUGGACGCACGGACCUGAAUUCACAAGCGACCUCCGCGAAAGAGUUUGAUGUGCGGACGGCCGCGGGGACGGUUUACGUGAUUGUGCAAAGAGGACGCACUUACUUUGAAAACCGGGAAGAGUUGGAUCACGUGCGUGCGCAUUUUCGACUAGUUCAUGAAGUAAAGAUUGAUGGCGCCAGCGCGGUUGAGGUGUUUGUAAAAUAAUUGAAAUGGUCCCCGCAAGGCGCUAAGGCGCAAAGAAGAAAUUCAGGUUUUUCCUUUGCGUCUUUGCGCCUUUGCGUGAGAAAACCACUCUAUGAACAUGAGAAACCGAAAACCCUUACUUUAUUCCCUAUCAACACUCGUCAUAAUGCUCUCGCUCUUUCUCGUCGGCAGAAGCUUUGCUCCCGAUCGAGUUCAGAUAACGAUCCUUGGCACCACCGAUCUCCACGGCAAUAUCAACCCCAUCGACUACUACACGAACAAGCCCGACAACCGUGGUCUUGCAAAGGUGGCCACGCUGAUCAAACGCGUUCGCAAAGAACAUCCCAACGUACUCCUGGUCGACUCCGGCGAUACGAUUCAAGGCUCACCACUCGAGUCGUUUCACGGCCGCAAAAACAAUCAGCCGCCCGAUCCGAUGAUGCUGGUGAUGAGUUCGCUGGACUACGACGCGAUGGCGGUCGGCAAUCAUGAAUACAAUUUCGGUCUCAAAGUGCUUGAAAAGGCCCGCCACGAAG
RNAcentral lists this unclassified non-coding RNA (1449 nucleotides) under uncultured fungus. RNAcentral describes it as "sequence contains 18S rRNA gene, ITS1, 5.8S rRNA gene, ITS2, 28S rRNA gene". Lineage: Eukaryota; Fungi. The record is from RNAcentral.